Molecule: ribosomal RNA, 614 nt
Filed under: uncultured bacterium
Lineage: Bacteria
Description: bacterial SSU rRNA
Rfam family: Bacterial small subunit ribosomal RNA
Source: RNAcentral
AGUACGUUCGCAAGAAUGAAACUCAAAGGAAUUGACGGGGGCCCGCACAAGCGGUGGAGCAUGUGGUUUAAUUCGAUGAUACGCGAGGAACCUUACCAGGGCUUAAAUGUAGUCUGACAGGUCUGGAAACAGACUUUUCUUCGGACAGAUUACAAGGUGCUGCAUGGUUGUCGUCAGCUCGUGCCGUGAGGUGUCAGGUUAAGUCCUAUAACGAGCGCAACCCCUGUGGUUAGUUGCCAGCGAGUAAUGUCGGGAACUCUAGCCAGACUGCCGGUGCAAACCGCGAGGAAGGUGGGGAUGACGUCAAAUCAUCACGGCCCUUACGUCCUGGGCCACACACGUGCUACAAUGGUAGGGACAGAGAGCAGCCACUUCGCGAGAAGGAGCGAAUCUACAAACCCUAUCACAGUUCGGAUCGCAGUCUGCAACUCGACUGCGUGAAGCUGGAAUCGCUAGUAAUCGCAUAUCAGCCAUGAUGCGGUGAAUACGUUCCCGGGCCUUGUACACACCGCCCGUCAAGCCAUGGAAGCCGGGGGUACCUGAAGUCGGUCACCGCAAGGAGCCGCCUAGGGUAAAACUGGUAACUGGGGCUAAGUCGUAACAAGGUAACCGUA